UAGGGAAUCUUCCGCAAUGGGCGAAAGCCUGACGGAGCAACGCCGCGUGAGUGAUGAAGGUCUUCGGAUCGUAAAACUCUGUUAUUAGGGAAGAACAAAUGUGUAAGUAACUAUGCACGUCUUGACGGUACCUAAUCAGAAAGCCACGGCUAACUACGUGCCAGCAGCCGCGGUAAUACGUAGGUGGCAAGCGUUAUCCGGAAUUAUUGGGCGUAAAGCGCGCGUAGGCGGUUUUUUAAGUCUGAUGUGAAAGCCCACGGCUCAACCGUGGAGGGUCAUUGGAAACUGGAAAACUUGAGUGCAGAAGAGGAAAGUGGAAUUCCAUGUGUAGCGGUGAAAUGCGCAGAGAUAUGGAGGAACACCAAUGGCGAAGGCGACUUUCUGGUCUGUAACUGACGCAGAUGUGCGAAAGCGUGGGGAUCAAACAGG
This 429-nucleotide ribosomal RNA is filed under the name Actinomycetes bacterium. RNAcentral describes it as "Actinobacteria bacterium partial 16S ribosomal RNA". It matches the Rfam family "Bacterial small subunit ribosomal RNA", at positions 355 to 776 of the family's 1533-position model. The record is from RNAcentral. Lineage: Bacteria; Bacillati; Actinomycetota; Actinomycetes.